Molecule: non-coding RNA, 1733 nt
Organism: Malus domestica (apple)
Lineage: Eukaryota; Viridiplantae; Streptophyta; Magnoliopsida; Rosales; Rosaceae
Source: RefSeq, a predicted model, not a curated record
CGUGGGAUCCCGUUCCAUUGACACUUCCUGCCUAUUCCCCCCUCUCACUCUUGCUCACCGCUCCAUGCCGCUUUAUCUCCUUUGUCGCUCAAAAUCAUCGCAAAAAACCUAAACCUCAAACCAUCAAAUCCAUUUUCACAAUUUCUCUCAGAAUCGGCGCUUCUCUCUCGCUCACCGCUUCAUCGUCAACAAAUCUCAACCGUAGCCGCACUACAAGCCCAUCUGGAUGGAAAACCCAUGAAGAAAUCUUGGUCGUCGGUUGACAAUCGAACUGCAACAUCGUCUUGACUCACCUCAGUAUCAGCAGAUUCUAGCUUCAAACCCUCUCCGACCCUUCUACCCAAAAGCUUUCUCACCGAUUUGUCAUCAAAUCAUAUCAAGCUCCAUUCAUGUCCACUUCUAUUCAUAAAAGCCCGCCUUUUGUCAAUGGCGACAACGGAGGCUAGGCUUGGAGCUAAACCAGAACCAAAAGAAAUUGAAGAGAGUUCUGAACCUCUUCUCAAAUACAAGAUUUUGCAACAGCAAUUGCAUGUGAGGCAAGGAAGCCGUUGGUGAUAGAGAGGGUGAAGGUUGUUCCACCUAAUGCCAUGGAAAUGAGGGUAAAGGUCAAAAUAUACCUCAGUUUAUCACAUUGAACUCUACUUCUGCCGAAGGCACAUUUACUUCGAGUGAAUACAUUGGUGUUCAUUGUGGCCGUCUUUCCAAAAUUAAGCCCCUUGCUCAGUUGGACAAAGUUUGCAUCCUCAGUUGUGCCAUACCGACAAGUUUGAUGUCCUACUUCAAUGCUUUAGAGCCUUGAAUUAUGCAUCCUAAACUGACUACAUAUUGAUUCGUUUGCAUUAUACUGGAUAUUUUGUUUUUUAGUAUCAAGUUUGGGUACCCCUCUGAAUGUAGCUAAACGAAAAAUUAUCCUCAGUUGCUGUUUAUUGGCCUUGCUGUAAGUUUGGAGAAACUUUGUUGAUCCCAAAUUCUUUGUUCUAAUAAAUUGCGUUUAUUUUCUUUUCCGUAUUUAUACUGAUAGAUGCAUGAUCUAGGUCAUAACUAAAAAAUUUGGAGUAAAUGAUUUUGUGAAUUUGAGUGACAAUGACAAACCAGUGCACGAGAUGAUAAAUGAUUUGCUAUUGUUAUUAUGUGUUGGACAUGAGUCAACAUAGGUAGUUAAGUUAUAACUUCAACUUAUAUUUUUAUUUUCUUCUGCUUCUCAUCUACCCAAGUCUACAAUGUACAUGCAGCUAAGGAGAAGACCGAGACAUCAACCAGUGCAUAAGCUUCUGAUAAGACUAAUUGCAGAUAGCACUACAAAUGAGCACCACAAAUUUAAGCUUGAUGUUGUGUGAGAAAAUGGCUUCAAGAUUGGAAUUUCCAUCAUCUGGGAAAAGGAAAACAGGAAGAGAACACCAAUUGUGGUGACGAUGGAGAAUCCCUUCUUUACGGUGGAAAUCAACGAUCUAUGUGCAACAUUUAGCCCAGUUUAUAAGAGGAAGAACUAAUUACAUGGGUUUAUCAAGUUUUGUACUGAGGUAAAACUCCCCCCAUUUAACAUAGUUUUAAAUGCUGAUUAGUAUGUGUGUGUUUAGGCCCGAUUUUACACUAUCGGUUCGUGCGAUCAAAACCGUUGAUGAACAUGGCUCUCAACCGUUGGAUGACAGGAUAGUUGAGAUAAUUAUUAUUGAAAGAUACAUUGUGGUUUUAAUCAUGAUAUUAUCUUUUAAUGGUGAAUUAUGUUUUAAUUA